This is a non-coding RNA of Leptonychotes weddellii (Weddell seal), 1491 nucleotides long. The record is from RefSeq and is a predicted model, not a curated record. Lineage: Eukaryota; Metazoa; Chordata; Mammalia; Carnivora; Phocidae.
GGCACCGCCGGCUCUCUCCGCUGUUCCCGCCUGGGUCCCGAGACGUGGUUUCUGAACCCCGGCAUCAUCCCGUCUAGCGAAAUACCAAAGUGUUCAACCACGUGGCCAAGCGGCCACCCGAGGAAAGGAUUUUCAAUAAUACCACACGUGCUUAUUUCCUUUAAGUAGAAUGAAAAAAGGCAUAGAAGCUGGAACAUUCGAAGUAGAAGGAGGCCAUCACUGGGACUGAAGGGGGAGGCAGUGUUGCUCUUCCCCAAGGUACUCACUUGGUGCUCUGCUCCAUCAUUUCUCUGUGUCUUUGCUUACAUUCUCCAUUUGCCUGGAAAGUUCAUUCCCUUCUGUCUCCAUUUUAAUGACUGUGGCAGGUGGAAUCCUAAAAAUGGCUCCCAAGAUUCCAGUGCUCUAAUCCCCAGAACCUAUUGAUAUGAUGAAUUAUCACUCCCAUGACUGUGCUUUGUCAUAUGGCACAGUUAACUUUGGUAGGUUUAUCUGGGUAGAUCUGAGCUAAUCACAUGAGCCCUUUUAAAAGCAGACUUUUCUGGUAGCCGAAGGGGAAGUCAUGGAUUUGAAGCAUGAGGGGAAUUUGACACAUCAUUGCUGGCUUAAAGAUGGAGAAGGCCACAUGCCAAGGAAUAUGGACAGCUUUGGGGAGCUGAAAGUAAUCCCAGCUGACAUCCAGCAAGGAAAUGGGGACCUCAGACCUACUGCUGCAAGGAACUGCAUUUGACCAACAACCUGAAGGAGUAUGGAAGCAGAUUCUUCCCUAGAACUUCUGGAUAAGAGCCCAGCUUGCCAACACCUUGAUUUUGGCGAGACCUUUGUGAGACCCUAAAGGGAGAACCCAGUUGAGCCCAACUAAGACUUCUGAUCUACCAAUCUGUGAGAUAAAUGUGGGUGUUGCUUUAAGUUGCUGACUUGUGGUAAUUUAUUACAGCAACAAUAGAAAAUGAAUCCGAAGACAUAGAGGGUUGUCAAACAUUGUAGAUAUUACUUUUAACCAACUUGCUGGGCUUGAUAGAUUCCAUGUUUAAGAAUUGCUUACCAAAGCCCUCGGCAGGCAGCCUGAACACUUCUGCUGCUGGCAACUGGAAGAUACUCCUGUCCUCUUCUGCUGCUGCUGGGUGAGUCAUCUGCUCCCAAACCUCCUGACAGGUAGUUGUACUGGUUAUCAUACUUACACGUUUAUAUGUGUUUAAGUAUUAUGUCAACUGGGAUGUAAGAGUGAACAUGAAAAGCGUCCAUCUUUCUACCAAGAUAAAAUUCAAUGCUUUGUAAUGACUGGAUAAAUGGGAAGUCCCUAAAAAAUGCUAUGGAAUUAGGUGGAUGAGGUAACUGGAAGACCAGAAAAGAACUGUGAAGUUCUAGAAGGUUUCUCUAAAUUCUUUGUCCCGGGUAAAGAGUUUGAAACUAGGAAUUGUCCCUAAUGCUUUAGGAGGAUGGCUUAUGUAAGAAUGCUGGUGAGGGGGGCGCCUGGGUGGCUCAGUUGGUUAA